Long non-coding RNA from Oreochromis aureus, 1002 nucleotides. Lineage: Eukaryota; Metazoa; Chordata; Actinopteri; Cichliformes; Cichlidae. The record is from Ensembl.
CGGAAGUGCUCCAGGACGCUAGGGGCAGUGUUGAGCUUUUGUUACCUAGUAACUACACAAGCCAUGAAGUACCAAUGACCGGAUUUGGGCUGUAGGCCGCAUUUUAAGGCCGAUUACAUCACAGCGACACGACGAAGGCUGUCCCAAUUCAAAGGCUGCUCCAAAUGCGGCCCUCAAAUGCGUCCUUAAUUUCCCUGAAUUUUAAGGAUGGGUCGGUGUAGCCUUCAUGGCCCAACAUACCCCAGAUUUCAUAGCGCGGCGGUGGUGUGGAUAAUUUUGCCGAAAAAACGGCGGAAGCCGAGCGGCCGAAGAGUAAACUUUCAGAACUUAUCACACAUUUGAUUUCCUUGUGUGACAACUGCAAGUGUCCAGAGUGAGGACAGACUGAGGGACCCACUGCUGCACAUCAUCUGUGAGCCUUUGCACCCCUGAUGAUCCACCAGGACAAACUCAGCCGUGUGUGAGGAAGAGGAGGAGGAAGAGCCAGCAGCAGCUGACAGAUGGAGAGAAUAGACAGACUGUUCCCUGUUUGUGAAGGACUGGUAGAAAAGUUUAACAUAACUAAUGUCUGUCCUGAAUCAGUCUUAUUAGGUAACCUUCAAAUAAUGUUAUCAUUCCAGUGUUUUCAGUGUGGGAGAAAGUACUCAGGGCCUUCAGGUUACACACUAUGAAAGGCAGCAACAAGUUUAAUGUUCAGAAACCUAAAGUAUGUAUCAGCAGCAGAAUGGAGCUAAAAAUAAAUGUUUGUUUCAGUUCUAUGAAGCUUUGAGUAUUUUGGAUUAGUAGCACUGCUGUGUUUGUUGCAUCAUAUUGCUGUAAUUGUUUAUAUGCUUUAUAUAUUCUGAGGUAACUUGAUCUAUAGUGUUACAUCAUAUUCUAUAAGGAUGUUAUGUGUUUGUAGACUUUCUGCCCAGUUUGACCCAUUUAGCAGAAGUCCGCCUGUUUAAGGCUCUGAUAUCUAUUCUGUAUGACUUAAAGCAGUUAUGACAUGGUCUGAUUUUC